UCAGAACUUUUCUUCCUCAUAGGACCUACAUACUAAAAACCCUAGGAUGCCCCUACACACAGCCAUCGCCCUUAGCCCAAACCCGUCGGAAAUUCGGCAACACCCAAAAAAAUGAGAACCAGCAGCAGUAGCCAUCUUCAUCAGGGGAAGACUACCACAGAAAACCUUAGCGAACCCAACCGCCUCCUCGACGCCCAAAACUUUCCAGAAAUUCUUCAACUUCAGCCGUCUCUAACAUCCCUUCACACUAUCUCACUCGCCGUCCACCACUCCAAAACCAACAACUCGCCGCCACCAACCACCUCUCUACCAACUUAUCUCCGCAAAAAACUUGUUGGAGGCAGUGGCGACACACAAGCAGAAGAAGAAGACAGUACAGCCGCUGCCUAAACCAUGCCUAUCUCCAUACCGCCGACCACCCCAGAAGAACCGCCGCCCCACCCUUCUUCUUCUUUUUCUUCUUCUUCAAGCUUCGGGUUUGAACUAAACGAAUAAGUCUUUGAAGUCUUGAACUAAAAAUGAACCUGCAGCAGGUGGGGAAAUAAGGGAUCGAUAAAACAAAAAAUACAUUGUAGUUGCAAGCUCAUAUUUUGGUUUACUUGAAAUUACAUAAUAUAUAUAUAAAAGAUCUUCUAUUUAUUCAUUUUUUAUUUUAGUUUUGGUAUUAAAAUCACAAUAUUCUCUUGAUGUUCGGAAGUUUGUUAAAUUGGGUUCCCAGUUCGAGGUUUGUCGUGAUCAUGUUUUUG
This 746-nucleotide long non-coding RNA is filed under the name Nicotiana benthamiana. RNAcentral describes it as "long non-coding RNA (NBEN_LNC028400)". The record is from RNAcentral. Lineage: Eukaryota; Viridiplantae; Streptophyta; Magnoliopsida; Solanales; Solanaceae.